CCUACGGGAGGCUGCAGUGGGGAAUAUUGGACAAUGGGGGGAACCCUGAUCCAGCCAUGCCGCGUGUGUGAAGAAGGCCCUCGGGUUGUAAAGCACUUUCAGUGAGGAAGAACGCCUGGUGGUUAAUACCCAUCAGGAAAGACAUCACUCACAGAAGAAGCACCGGCUAACUCCGUGCCAGCAGCCGCGGUAAUACGGAGGGUGCGAGCGUUAAUCGGAAUUACUGGGCGUAAAGCGCGCGUAGGUGGCUUGAUAAGCCGGUUGUGAAAGCCCCGGGCUCAACCUGGGAACGGCAUCCGGAACUGUCAAGCUAGAGUGAAGGAGAGGAAGGUAGAAUUCCCGGUGUAGCGGUGAAAUGCGUAGAGAUCGGGAGGAAUACCAGUGGCGAAGGCGGCCUUCUGGACUGACACUGACACUGAGGUGCGAAAGCGUGGGUAGCAAACAGGAUUAGAUACCCGUGUAGUC
RNAcentral lists this ribosomal RNA (465 nucleotides) under Vreelandella stevensii. Its description in RNAcentral is "partial 16S ribosomal RNA". It matches the Rfam family "Bacterial small subunit ribosomal RNA", at positions 338 to 795 of the family's 1533-position model. Lineage: Bacteria; Pseudomonadati; Pseudomonadota; Gammaproteobacteria; Oceanospirillales; Halomonadaceae. The record is from RNAcentral.